GGUAAAUACAUGUUGAUAUUACAAGACUUCAUGUGAGCAAUAACUAUAUUAACGAUUCAAAAACUUUGGUUGUAUAAAGGCAACAAUCAUGUCCAUUCGCUGGAGGAAGGCAUUUCUAUGACGUCUACAACUAAGGAGAACCCAAAUAAAUUUUGAAAAUUGCGUUAAAGUCAUUGACGACUAAAUUUGAACAGAAACAGCAGCAGCAAGUGCAAUGGCAAGGAUAAAUGGGCGAGACCACGUUAACGUUUAUGUUGGGAAAGAAUUAUUCGGUCACUGGAAGGGAGUCUCAACGUGGCUUGAACGUAAAUUAUUAACUAUCAAAGCGAAAUUACUACGAGUUAACGACGUCUACCAGACACACCAAAUAUUAAAUGGAUAUACCGGACGUAAUCUAAGCAUUUGAUAAGCAAACAGUUUGUACUGAAGCUAUGGAAUUGAGUGAUAGCAAAACGCAACAAACAAGAGCGCUGUGAAGACUGUGCAGAUUGGUUUCUUACAACAUCCUAUGUCCUCAACACAAUGUUUAAAGAUUAUAUGGCUGCGUUGUCAAAUAUGCGGUGAUAUGUUAUAAGUAUCAUAAAGCAUUGAAAUGUUGGAUAUGACUCGUGAAAUCGACAUUCCUAAAGAAUACACCUCA
Molecule: long non-coding RNA, 640 nt
Organism: Xenia sp. Carnegie-2017
Lineage: Eukaryota; Metazoa; Cnidaria; Anthozoa; Malacalcyonacea; Xeniidae
Exons: 3
Source: RefSeq, a predicted model, not a curated record